CAUCGCGUGGACUUGGUGGACCACGGUCCAAGAGAGGGGGUUGUUUUUUCGCAGCGACAGGGCAGAUCUCGGCGAAGCUGCGUUCCCUUGGCAGGGCAGAAGCCCCUCCGAGCCAGCCCUGGGGAUUUCACCCCUCCUCCCGCGGCGCGCCCUCGCAGAACUGGAUGCAGUACUGCAGGUGGGGUCUCACCAGAGCAGAGCAGAAUGGCAGAAUCACCUCCCUCGACUUGCUGGACAUGCUUCUUUUGAUGCAGCCCAGGAUAAGUACUACUACAAAGGCCAAGCUGACUCCUCGGCAUUGCAACCCCUCUACCACUUCUGCUGAUGUCUGGCCACACCAUCUGGUGUUAGUACAAAGCUGCCAUGAAGGGUACUGCUCCUGGGAUGAGGCAGAGAUGUCAUAUCAUCAUCAAAAUGUAAGAUGAUCUAGAGGAUUGAAAACCUGCUGGUAACAUCAUCUGGUGACAAGAGCAUCACGGCCUGCCUGCCCUGCCCAGGAGAUUGCAAGAGUCAUCAUACAGUGACCAGAUUCUUGGCAAAUGGACCAAACCUCUCACCAAGAAAGCAAAUGGUCUGAGCAGGAACCAAUAAGGAGGCUUCAGGCUGGAUGACUUCUGUUUAGUCACAGUUAAAAUGCAAAAAAUAACCGUUUCUAAAGAGCUGAUUAGGGAAAGGAAAACAAGGAAAGAAAUAAACAAGUAAAGAAAUGACCAGGAUGGGCCAUUUAGCCUCAUUCAGAUCUCAGGUUCAGGAAAAGCAGAAGUGUUUUCCAUAUUACACAGAUCAAUUCAAGUAGAUCCAAACACCAUAGAAAUUUUUCUAGGUAACAAGCCUCCUUUUUCUUUUGUUCAGAUGUUUUCUGAAGAUAUUUGAAAUGAAAUCAUUCCAAAAUCAUUUUGUUUUGUGAUGUAGCUUCUAUGAUGACCAUUUCAUGUAAAGACAAAGCCUUCUGUGUGCCACUCAGUCAGUAAAAUCCAAAUCUGCAUUUAUUAACCCUCAGAAGGAGGGAGGGGAAAGUGGUGGCUCAUGACUCUGACCUCAAACAUUCACAGAUCUCACAACACAAGAAUUGAAGGAGAGGAAAAAAGAGGAGUAUCAAACCUCUUAAUGUGGGAACCCAUAUAUUCAGAGUUAUUUACCAGCUCUUUCAUUGCAGUAGCACUGUCUGAGCCCUAUUGGUGUCUAAUAAAAGAGGAUUCAUUGCGUUUAUUGUAACGCCAUGCCUGCCUCCUUCAGAGUAGGACGUUAUGCUGGGGAUGAAAGUGGCUGCAAUGUUGAGGCUGUGCACAAUGCCAGGCCAGCAGCAGCAUGAAGCCCCAAGCCACAUGGGUGGAGGUGGUUGCAGAGCAGGUGUCCAGAGCUCCUGGCCAUAGCAGAGCUGUGCAUCGUGGUACAGAUGUGUAAACCAGUCCAGGAUUAACCACAUAUCUGCCCAGGUGUUCAAGGUGAGACUGGGCUUCUCUUGAUUCAUGCGCAACACCAGAGGCUCCAAGCUCCCAUCUAGAAAGCCUUAAAAAGACGCAGAAAAAGCCAGAAUGUGAGUGGAAGCAAGCUUUGAUCCCUGCCCCCUGACUGAAGAGACUGGGAGUUAUUGUAAAAAGGAAUGGCUGGUGACACUUUGCCUGUAUUCAGCCAGUGACUUCAGGAGGACCCAGACUGAAUCUAUUGAUUUCUUCCUCCUGAAAGGUAAUCACAACCCUGUGUCAGUGGGUAAACAUACGGCACCCAGGAAUUCGUUGACCACUGUCAUAGAAAAGAGCGUAAUAAACUCAGAUAUUGGAUUAUUUGCAAAUUGCAGCAGGGAAACUCAUCUAACCUUUCUGCAGCUCUUUUAAGUGGUAUUAUUAUUAGUCCUUGUUCGGAGGAUGGCAGGCAGGCAGCCAGUAAAGCACUUAGAGUUUACCAUCAUCCAUCUGCUCCUCUAUAGAUUUGAAGACUGUAGAAAUUUUCCUUUUUAGGACUUACUUGGAAUAUGAUUAGUGGGCCACUUGCCAUGUUGCUAUACAAGUGUGUCUGUGUGCUUUAGGCAGAGGUAUGUGACACGUAUU
This is a long non-coding RNA of Cuculus canorus (common cuckoo), 2048 nucleotides long. RefSeq lists it as uncharacterized. Lineage: Eukaryota; Metazoa; Chordata; Aves; Cuculiformes; Cuculidae. The record is from RefSeq and is a predicted model, not a curated record. The transcript is spliced from 4 exons.